GUGCCAGCCGCCGCGGUAAUACGUAGGGGGCAAGCGUUAUCCGGAUUUAUUGGGCGUAAAGCGCGCGUAGGCGGCCUAUUGGUCGGGAGUUAAAACCGGGGGCUCAACCCCCGUCCGCUUCCGAUACCGGUAGGCUUGAGUCUGGUAGGAGAAGGUGGAAUUCCCAGUGUAGCGGUGGAAUGCGCAGAUAUUGGGAAGAACACCGGUGGCGAAGGCGACCUUCUAGGCCAUGACUGACGCUGAGGCGCGAAAGCUGGGGGAGCGAACAGGAUUAGAUACCCUGGUAGUCCCAGCCGUAAACGAUGGACACUAGGUGUGGGAGGUGUUCCUUCCGUGCCGCAGCUAACGCAUUAAGUGUCCCGCCUGGGGAGUACGGCCGCAAGGCUAAAACUCAAAGGAAUUGACGGGGCCCGCACAAGCAGCGGAGCAUGUGGCUUAAUUCGAAGCAACGCGAAGAACCUUACCAGGGCUUGACAUAUAGGUGAAGCGGCGGAGACGCCGUAGCCGAAAGGAGCCUAUACAGGUGUGCAUGGCUGU
Molecule: ribosomal RNA, 537 nt
Filed under: uncultured Olsenella sp.
Lineage: Bacteria; Bacillati; Actinomycetota; Coriobacteriia; Coriobacteriales; Atopobiaceae
Description: bacterial SSU rRNA
Rfam family: Bacterial small subunit ribosomal RNA
Source: RNAcentral